This 278-nucleotide ribosomal RNA is filed under the name uncultured bacterium. RNAcentral's name for it is "partial 16S ribosomal RNA". It matches the Rfam family "Bacterial small subunit ribosomal RNA", at positions 29 to 334 of the family's 1533-position model. The record is from RNAcentral.
AACGAACGCUGGCGGCAUGCCUAACACAUGCAAGUCGAACGAGACCUUCGGGUCUAGUGGCACACGGGUGCGUAACGCGUGGGAAUCUGCCCUUGGGUUCGGAAUAACUCGCCGAAAGGCGUGCUAAUACCGGAUGAUGUCGUAGGACCAAAGAUUUAUCGCCCAGGGAUGAGCCCGCGUAAGAUUAGGUAGUUGGUGAGGUAAAGGCUCACCAAGCCGACGAUCUUUAGCUGGUCUGAGAGGAUGAUCAGCCACACUGGGACUGAGACACGGCCCAG